UACGUAGGGGCCGAGCGUUGUCCGGAGUUACUGGGCGUAAAGCGUGCGCAGGCGGGCUUUUAAGCCAGACGUGAAAUCCCCGGGCUUAACCUGGGAAUGGCGUUUGGGACUGGGAGUCUGGAGUACGGCAGAGGAGACUGGAAUUCCUGGUGUAGCAGUGAAAUGCGUAGAUAUCAGGAGGAACACCGAUGGCGAAGGCAGGUCUCUGGGCUGAUACUGACGCUCAUGCACGAAAGCGUGGGGAGCAAACAGG
RNAcentral lists this ribosomal RNA (253 nucleotides) under uncultured bacterium. RNAcentral describes it as "partial 16S ribosomal RNA". It matches the Rfam family "Bacterial small subunit ribosomal RNA", at positions 524 to 776 of the family's 1533-position model. The record is from RNAcentral.